This 409-nucleotide ribosomal RNA is filed under the name uncultured bacterium. RNAcentral describes it as "bacterial SSU rRNA". It matches the Rfam family "Bacterial small subunit ribosomal RNA", at positions 1007 to 1420 of the family's 1533-position model. The record is from RNAcentral.
UGUGAAAGUGCUCGAAAGAGAACCAGAACACAGGUGCUGCAUGGCCGUCGUCAGCUCGUGUCGUGAGAUGUUGGGUUAAGUCCCGCAACGAGCGCAACCCUUGUCAUUAGUUGCUACGAAAGGGCACUCUAAUGAGACUGCCGGUGACAAACCGGAGGAAGGUGGGGAUGACGUCAGGUCCUCAUGGCCCUUAUGGGUAGGGCUACACACGUCAUACAAUGGCCGGUACAGAGGGCUGCCAACCCGCGAGGGGGAGCUAAUCCCAGAAAACCGGUCGUAGUCCGGAUCGCAGUCUGCAACUCGACUGCGUGAAGUCGGAAUCGCUAGUAAUCGCGGAUCAGCUUGCCGCGGUGAAUACGUUCCCGGGUCUUGUACACACCGCCCGUCACACCAUGGGAGCGGGUUCUGC